CGCGGGGUGGAGAAGUGGUAUCUCGCAAGGCUCAUAACCUUGAGACACAGGUUCAAAUCCUGUCCCCGCUACAA
This 74-nucleotide transfer RNA is filed under the name Candidatus Giovannonibacteria bacterium RIFCSPHIGHO2_01_FULL_45_23. Its description in RNAcentral is "tRNA-Met". It matches the Rfam family "tRNA". Rfam says of the family: Transfer RNA (tRNA) molecules are approximately 80 nucleotides in length. Their secondary structure includes four short double-helical elements and three loops (D, anti-codon, and T loops). Further hydrogen bonds mediate the characteristic L-shaped molecular structure. tRNAs have two regions of fundamental functional importance: the anti-codon, which is responsible for specific mRNA codon recognition, and the 3' end, to which the tRNAs corresponding amino acid is attached (by aminoacyl-tRNA synthetases). tRNAs cope with the degeneracy of the genetic code in two manners: having more than one tRNA (with a specific anti-codon) for a particular amino acid; and 'wobble' base-pairing, i.e. permitting non-standard base-pairing at the 3rd anti-codon position. Lineage: Bacteria; Candidatus Giovannoniibacteriota. The record is from RNAcentral. RNAcentral also lists the same sequence under 2 other names.